UUUUUAGGGUAUCCAUGAGUUCAAAGUUGAUGCAGACAUAAUAAU
RNAcentral lists this small RNA (45 nucleotides) under Arabidopsis thaliana (thale cress). Its description in RNAcentral is "ATSL203080". Lineage: Eukaryota; Viridiplantae; Streptophyta; Magnoliopsida; Brassicales; Brassicaceae. The record is from RNAcentral.